GAGCCAUCAAGAGCCACUGAGGAGUACAAAGACUUUGCAGAAUGAUGUUUAGUGAACACCUAUUUUGUGCCUGAGGCUGGGGUAUAUGUAACUCCUCAGGAACUCAAAAAAUUGGUAAGUGCACCCUGUAUCCACACCUCUUCACACACCCAGUUUUCUCACUCUGCCUUGCAAACAAGCUCCAAAUGUGCGUUCACANAUCCCCCCAGCUGACCUUGGACCUGUCUGCGUUCAUCCCUUCCUAGUUCAGGUUGUCCCUCCCACUGGCAGCUCCAGGUAUGCCGAGGGAAACAGCAGUUCUUAUAUCCACAUUUGAUUGCAUGCAUCAUAUUGGAUGUGUGUGUCUACAUCGUAAAGUUACACACCAACAAGCUGUAUCCCUGCAAACAAGGAAUGCAUGUAAACUAGACAACUCAGAGAACGUGACAUCAUUUGGGGCCUCUGACUUUGUUAAGACCAGCUUAACUCGCUGGAAGUUUGCAUUUCCCAGAAUGGAAAUCUGGAACGGAAAAUGAAAAGAUGUUCCAAGGUUAUGCUGUAAAACCUCAGAAAGAUCUGGGCCAGUGGACAGACAGGUUUCCUGAUCUGACAGCUGCUCCUCUAUCUGCUGGGACCUGCCAUUUCAAAAUUAUCAUCUGCAGUUGAAUGCCUAAAGAGCAAGCUCACCAGGGAUCGUACAUCCUGGUGUGUUCACAGACGUGCCCUCAGCCUCUAGCACAGCACAGCACUAGACACAGGAAUUCCGAGUUGAAUGAAUGGACCAAACUGUUACGAUACUCAAGGAAACAGAGAACAUCCAAAGAGGCUUGGGAAAUAAAAAUAAUCAAAGAGACGCAUCAGCAAAUGAAAAAAGUGUCCAAGAUUAAGAGGGAAGAAGGUGCUUACUUUUUUUUGUUUUUUUUUUUGUUUGUUUAUUUGUUUGUUUCCUAA
RNAcentral lists this long non-coding RNA (930 nucleotides) under Capra hircus (goat). RNAcentral describes it as "lncRNA (ENSCHIG00010002970.1)". Lineage: Eukaryota; Metazoa; Chordata; Mammalia; Artiodactyla; Bovidae. The record is from RNAcentral.